Sporothrix schenckii ATCC 58251 is the source of this 72-nucleotide transfer RNA. It matches the Rfam family "tRNA". Rfam says of the family: Transfer RNA (tRNA) molecules are approximately 80 nucleotides in length. Their secondary structure includes four short double-helical elements and three loops (D, anti-codon, and T loops). The record is from Rfam. Lineage: Eukaryota; Fungi; Ascomycota; Sordariomycetes; Ophiostomatales; Ophiostomataceae.
GGGCCUUUGGUCUAGUGGUAUGGCGUUCGCUUAGCAUGCGAAAGGUCCUGGGUUCGAUUCCCAGAUGGUCCA